Molecule: RNA transcript, 217 nt
Organism: Apis mellifera (honey bee)
Lineage: Eukaryota; Metazoa; Arthropoda; Insecta; Hymenoptera; Apidae
Exons: 2
Source: RefSeq, a predicted model, not a curated record
UAUAAUACACACAAUGGAAAGCGCGGCAGCUUCAAUAUUAAAACGAGCAGUAGAAAUGGAUAGCAAUAAACAGUAUACAAUGGCUUUAGUAUUAUAUCAGGAAGGUAUACAAAUAUUACUUGAUUCUAAAAAAGUAAUAUUAUAGAAACAACAGAUCCAGCUAAGCAAAAGUAUUUUGCUGUCAAGGCAUCAGAAUAUUUGGAUAGAGCAGAAAAAA